GACUCAGGAUGGGAAACAACGGCAAGCAUUUGGAAUUCCCAAGCCCCUAUUACCAUAACACAUCCUAGUACAGAGAUAUUUUUAGAUAUUAGAAAUCCAAAUCUCCAAACCAUUUAUGUGAGUACACUACACAAACACCAACCAUUUAUGUCAUCCCUCGCGUAACCCAUCCAUAUUCCUGCAAAAAAAUAUGCCAAUGUGAACUAGGAGCAUUUUACAACACCUCUAAGCACCAACAAUAUAGUACUUGACAACAUGAGUUCCAGAAACAUUUUGUAUGGAUUGAUUUCUAGGAUAAAAAACAAGUAUACGGGUCAGCUACUCAGCUAUCACCUCAUCAAGCAAAAAUAAAAAAACUCUGCGGCAGAUACAUAGCAAAAUUAACCCAUAAUUUCACAAUGCUACAGCCGAGCUAAUUGAAUUUCUUUGGCACAAAACAGCUCAUCAGCCAUGCAGUCCACACAGGAAAAACACGAAGCGGAGAUCAUCUCUUGUGAUGAAAAUGAGCGAUUCGACGAUGAUAGCUUCGGGCACAUCGUUAGUGAUGG
Molecule: long non-coding RNA, 548 nt
Filed under: Brachypodium distachyon (stiff brome)
Lineage: Eukaryota; Viridiplantae; Streptophyta; Magnoliopsida; Poales; Poaceae
Description: long non-coding RNA (BDIS_LNC000523)
Source: RNAcentral